This is a long non-coding RNA of Tachyglossus aculeatus (Australian echidna), 1186 nucleotides long. RefSeq lists it as uncharacterized. The record is from RefSeq and is a predicted model, not a curated record. Lineage: Eukaryota; Metazoa; Chordata; Mammalia; Monotremata; Tachyglossidae. The transcript is spliced from 4 exons.
CAGCCCCGCCUCUUGAAAACCCAGUCUCUCCAUUAGUCUCUCCAGUCAAGGGGGCAGGGGCACUGCUCCUUUAAUGUCCCAGAGGUAAGGCCUGUGGGUUUUACCUGUUGAGAAGAGAAGGAGGCUGAGGAGAGAAGACAGAGUGUGUUCCUCUGGCAUUCUGGGAGAUGAUUGCUGCUCUGGAUCUAGAGGGCCAAGGAAAGAGCCUGAGCCCCAGGUGCAUCCUGGAAGACCCUGACCCCUGGUCCAACCCCGCCUCCCAAGGACGUGUUGGUGCAGACAGGACUGGACAGAACAGAAAGCCACAGCACAGCCCCGAACCGGACCACCCGACCCUGUGGACAGUGGAGGACUGACCAGCUACUCACCUGGUGUUAUGGACACUCAUAGAUUGAUUGCGCCGGCCCCACCAUGAGGGAAUCGGUUGGCACUGGGCUGCUGCCCCCUGGUCACCGCUCCCCCACGCCCUGGCCCCCCACCCCCCUGGCCCCCCAACCCACAACUGUAUCCCCUCCUUCCAGACAAUGCCAUUUCUUUUAGGAGUCAAGGGUCAAACCCCGCAUCAUGGGUGCCAAAUCAGUCUCUUGCAACUCUAGGAGGUGAUGGAGGUGUGUGUGUGUGUGUGUCUGUUUCUUGUGUGAGAGCGAGGGCUGGGACAUGAGCAGGGCGAGAGGGGCUGCCCUACUUCGGAGGGGUAAAGGUUUCUGGAAACAGGGGUCUAGAGUCCUGUGCCUGUACUCCGUGGACCUCAAGACCGGGUGUGAAGUCGUGCCGGGGCCCUUAAUUCUAUAGUCAGUGCGACUUACUCCCGCUCUGGUCCGUUGGGAGUUCUCGGGCCUGCUCUGGCUUCAAGAGUACAGACUCUCUUUCCCACCGAGGGGCGUGCCCGUGGGGGAGUGGGGUACAGGGACAGAAGUAGUGGGGUGUGUGUGUGUGUCUAUCUGUAUGCAUGCGUCACUACUCUAUGUCCUCCAUCCCUCCUGGCUGAGCACAAUAGUGGGGGAGAGGACUAGCAGCAAAUUCUAAAGUGGGAAGAUGCAGAAUGGUUUUCCCCCCCCAAUCCUACCAACAGAAAUGGCACGGUCUGGCCCCCUCCUCUCGUCCUCCCCUCUCUAUCCCCUUGGCUGCCUGGGCUCUGUAAGCCCAUCUACAUCUGUAUGGAAUAAAAUGGAUAUUUUUUUCUGUC